This 496-nucleotide ribosomal RNA is filed under the name uncultured bacterium. Its description in RNAcentral is "partial 16S ribosomal RNA". It matches the Rfam family "Bacterial small subunit ribosomal RNA", at positions 29 to 507 of the family's 1533-position model. The record is from RNAcentral.
AUGAACGCUGGCGGCGUGCCUAAUACCUGCAAGUCGAGCGAACGGACGAGAAGCUUGCUUCUCUGAUGUUAGCGGCGGACGGGUGAGUAACACGUGGAUAACCUACCUAUAAGACUGGGAUAACUUCGGGAAACCGUAGCUAAUACCGGAUAAUAUUUUGAACCGCAUGGUUCAAAAGUGAAAGACGGUCUUGCUGUCACUUAUAGAUGGAUCCGCGCUGCAUUAGCUAGUUGGUAAGGUAACGGCUUACCAAGGCAACGAUGCAUAGCCGACCUGAGAGGGUGAUCGGCCACACUGGAACUGAGACACGGUCCAGACUCCUACGGGAGGCAGCAGUAGGGAAUCUUCCGCAAUGGGCGAAAGCCUGACGGAGCAACGCCGCGUGAGUGAUGAAGGUCUUCGGAUCGUAAAACUCUGUUAUUAGGGAAGUACAUAUGUGUAAGUAACUGUGCACAUCUUGACGGUACCUAAUCAGAAAGCCACGGCUAACUACGUG